Molecule: unclassified non-coding RNA, 216 nt
Filed under: Hevea brasiliensis (rubber tree)
Lineage: Eukaryota; Viridiplantae; Streptophyta; Magnoliopsida; Malpighiales; Euphorbiaceae
Source: RNAcentral
UAGAAAGUUCACAAGUUUGACAUAUGGAUGUAUACCCAUUCCGACGCCCGUACCCGAGCUCGAGUAACAUAGUGUGUGUGUGUAUAUCUAUGUUGAAAUCAAUGAGACAAACCCUUUUUUUGCAUGGUAUCAGAGCCUUAUAGAUACUAAUAAAGGAAAUGGAGGCUUUAAAUAUUAAUGGUGCAUGGGAAUAUGCAUUUACCCACUGGUAAGAAA